GGGGAAUAUUGCACAAUGGGCGCAAGCCUGAUGCAGCGACGCCGCGUGAGGGAUGACGGCCUUCGGGUUGUAAACCUCUUUCGCCAGGGACGAAGCGCAAGUGACGGUACCUGGAGAAGAAGCACCGGCCAACUACGUGCCAGCAGCCGCGGUAAUACGUAGGGUGCGAGCGUUGUCCGGAAUUACUGGGCGUAAAGAGCUCGUAGGCGGUUUGUCACGUCGUCUGUGAAAUCCUGCAACUCAAUUGCAGGCGUGCAGGCGAUACGGGCUGACUUGAGUACUACAGGGGAGACUGGAAUUCCUGGUGUAGCGGUGAAAUGCGCAGAUAUCAGGAGGAACACCGGUGGCGAAGGCGGGUCUCUGGGUAGUAACUGACGCUGAGGAGCGAAAGCGUGGGGAGCGAAC
This 405-nucleotide ribosomal RNA is filed under the name uncultured bacterium. RNAcentral's name for it is "bacterial SSU rRNA". It matches the Rfam family "Bacterial small subunit ribosomal RNA", at positions 356 to 773 of the family's 1533-position model. The record is from RNAcentral.